RNAcentral lists this ribosomal RNA (495 nucleotides) under uncultured bacterium. RNAcentral describes it as "partial 16S ribosomal RNA". It matches the Rfam family "Bacterial small subunit ribosomal RNA", at positions 28 to 507 of the family's 1533-position model. The record is from RNAcentral.
GACGAACGCUGGCGGCGUGCCUAAUACAUGCAAGUAGAACGCUGAAGGGGGAGCUUGCUUCUCCGGAUGAGUUGCGAACGGGUGAGUAACGCGUAGGUAACCUGCCUGGUAGCGGGGGAUAACUAUUGGAAACGAUAGCUAAUACUGCAUAAUAGUAUAUGUUGCAUGACAUUUGCUUAAAAGGUGCAAUUUCACCACUACCAGAUGGACCUGCGUUGUCUUUGCUAGUUGGUUGGGUAACGGCUCACCAAGGCGACGAUACAUAGCCAACCUGAGAGGGUGAACGGCCAAACUGGGACUGGGACACGGCCCAGACUCCUACGGGAGGCAGCAGUAGGGAAUCUUCGGCAAUGGACGGAAGUCUGACCGAGCAACGCCGCGGGGGUGAAUAAGGUUUUCGGAUCGUAAAGCUCUGUUGUAAGAGAAGAACGAGUGUGAGAGUUGAAAGUUCACACUGUGACGGUAUCUUACCAGAAAGGGACGGCUAACUACGUG